AUUGAACGCUGGCGGCAGGCCUAACACGUGCAAGUCGAACGGUAACAGGGAUCAGCUUGCUGAUUCGCUGACGAGUGGCGGACGGGUGAGUAAUGUCUGGGAAACUGCCUGAUGGAGGGGGAUAACUACUGGAAACGGUAGCUAAUACCGCAUAACGUCGCAAGACCAAAGAGGGGGACCUUCGGGCCUCUUGCCAUCGGAUGUGCCCAGAUGGGAUUAGCUAGUAGGUGGGGUAACGGCUCACCUAGGCGACGAUCCCUAGCUGGUCUGAGAGGAUGACCAGCCACACUGGAACUGAGACACGGUCCAGACUCCUACGGGAGGCAGCAGUGGGGAAUAUUGCACAAUGGGCGCAAGCCUGAUGCAGCCAUGCCGCGUGUAUGAAGAAGGCCUUCGGGUUGUAAAGUACUUUCAGCGGGGAGGAAGGGAGUAAAGUUAAUACCUUUGCUCAUUGACGUUACCCGCAGAAGAAGCACCGGCUAACUCCGUG
RNAcentral lists this ribosomal RNA (490 nucleotides) under uncultured bacterium. RNAcentral's name for it is "partial 16S ribosomal RNA". It matches the Rfam family "Bacterial small subunit ribosomal RNA", at positions 30 to 507 of the family's 1533-position model. The record is from RNAcentral.